RNAcentral lists this ribosomal RNA (468 nucleotides) under uncultured bacterium. RNAcentral describes it as "partial 16S ribosomal RNA". It matches the Rfam family "Bacterial small subunit ribosomal RNA", at positions 28 to 507 of the family's 1533-position model. The record is from RNAcentral.
GACGAACGCUGGCGGCGUGCUUAACACAUGCAAGUCGAACGGAAAGGCCCUGCUUUUGUGGGGUUCUCGAGUGGCGAACGGGUGAGUAACACGUGAGUAACCUGCCCUUGACUUUGGGAUAACUUCAGGAAACUGGGGCUAAUACCGGAUAGGAGCUCCUGCUGCAUGGUGGGGGUUGGAAAGUUUCGGCGGUUGGGGAUGGACUCGCGGCUUAUCAGCUUGUUGGUGGGGUAGUGGCUUACCAAGGCUUUGACGGGUAGCCGGCCUGAGAGGGUGACCGGCCACAUUGGGACUGAGAUAAGGCCCAGACUCCUACGGGAGGCAGCAGUGGGGAAUAUUGCACAAUGGGCGGAAGCCUGAUGCAGCAACGCCGCGUGCGGGAUGACGGCCUUCGGGUUGUAAACCGAUUUCGCCUGUGACGAAGCGUGAGUGACGGUAAUGGGUAAAGAAGCACCGGCUAACUACGUG